This 200-nucleotide ribosomal RNA is filed under the name Prasinococcus capsulatus. Its description in RNAcentral is "partial Bacterial large subunit ribosomal RNA". It matches the Rfam family "Bacterial large subunit ribosomal RNA", at positions 140 to 381 of the family's 2925-position model. The record is from RNAcentral. Lineage: Eukaryota; Viridiplantae; Prasinodermophyta; Palmophyllophyceae; Prasinococcales; Prasinococcaceae.
UAAGAUGGUUAUCUUGUACUGAAUACAUAGGUGCAAGAGGCGAACCAGGGGAACUGAAACAUCUAAGUACCCUGAGGAAAAGAAAUCAACCGAGAUUCCCUUAGUAGUGGCGAGCGAACGGGGACUAGCCCUUAAGUGGCUUUGAGAUUAGCGGAACGCUCUGGAAAGUGCGGCCAUAGUGGGUGAUAGCCCUGUACGCG